GAAAACAGCUCUAAAAGUACCUGUUCCCCUUCACUAGCUGAAAAGGGAGAUAGGUAAUUUAAAGCAGGUGGCUGCAUAAAUUCCCCUCUCUGAAAAUGAAUAACAUUUAGGAAAAACAUGCCCUGAGAAUGCUCAGCAUUUAGGAGAAACAUGCCCAAAGCAGACACUGAUUUGCCAGACAUCACUCCCUGCUGCAAGAUUUCCCACGCUAGACUAGCACCGAGCUCUGCUACUUGGAAGACAACAAGGAAAUUUCAUAGGCAAAGAGAGAAUAUUCCCCAGGUCAGAAAUGCUCUCUUUAAUCACAGGAAGGAGACUUGGUCUUCUGCACCCCCAGCUGAGGAGGUCCCACACUGCAGAAGCUUCCAAGCAUGGACCAGGACCCUUCACCAGCCGAGUGCUCCCACCUGGCUGCAGGCACCCACCCCGAACCCACUCCGAGAAUGUGCAAAUUCCUUCUUGCUAAACGGUGCAGCUGCAGGAGGUGACGUGGGGCAGCUCUGGUCCCAGAGCAUCCUCGGACAGAAGGAAGGGGACUGACUCUUGUUAACCCACUUACAGUUUCUGCUUGCCUGAGCAGAGCCCCGGCCACCUAGACCUGUUUGGGAUGGUGAUACCCAGCCUCCUCGCCUCUACUGCUGGCUUAAAACACAUGAAAGACCCACUUGCUCUUUAACAGCAGCAGAGAGGGUUUCCCUGAAUGUAGGGGCAAGGCAGGAAACCCUGGGAAAUAGCUGCUUGAAGCCCAGGUCCCUUCCCCGGAAAAUCUCGGGGUCGCAUCCCCGUCCUGCCGCCUCAGCCCCGCAUCCCGCACAUCUUGUGGAGCGUCCCUGCUCCGAACACACCGCCUCCCUCCAGGUUCGGGUUCUGACAGCAGCAGAGAGCCAGAAAGUUUCUGUCCCCGUGUCACACGCACGGCUCAGCCGCGGACACACGGAGCUGACACCGGGAGGGCGGGACAGCUUCACACAGCAUCCCUCCCUCGCUCUGCACCUUUGCGCUGAUUCAACACGGUGCUGACCUCGAGUAAGAAUUCAGAGUGGGAAGCAGAUCUGGGGGGCUGCUGGCAGAAUUCUCUGCAGUGUGGAGUUGCUGCUGCUGAUUCCCAGGGACCCUCCAGGAGGCAAUGAGGCCAGCAGGAGUCAGUUCAGGUCCAGAAAUUACCCAGUCUUUAAAAGCAAUAUCAUCACUUUGGUUGCUGUGCUAUUUGAAGAGGAUCUGAAAUGCCUGUGAUUUUAAAUCCUGAAGAGCUUACCUGAAAGCAGGAUGGCAGAAAUUCUGCAGUGCAUAGUAAGAAUGUGGUCAGCAGAAAAUAAAAAGUAUACUGUUUAAAAAAUUAAUGAGUUCAGAUUGACAUGAACAAAUGAAGUAGAGGAAAGCAGUGUGGGAUUUGAGACAUAUUGUGUAAUGUUAUUAUAAAAAAAAGUAGCACCUAUGUAUAAGGUAGCAGAGAUAAAGGAGAUUUAAAUCUAGUAAGAACAGAUAGCAGGGCAUGAAACAGAGUUUUGAGAUCUGUAUCUGAAAUAUUUUGAGUCAAGUGAGGAGAUACAAAACUAAUUCAGAAGAUUUAUGCAAUCUCACUUAUGAACAAUUGCCCAGCUCAACUGCGUUAAAGUACAAAAGAAAAAGAAAGGAAAAAACCAAAGUAGUGAGUAAUAAUUCAUACUGUAAUGUGUUUCAAGCUACAUCUCCCCUAUUGCCUGAAUUUUAUUGUGCAUCAGCCUGGUAUAAGUUAAAGAGGUAAAAGUAUACCUUUAUACUGCUAUCCUAAG
Long non-coding RNA from Prinia subflava (tawny-flanked prinia), 1772 nucleotides. RefSeq lists it as uncharacterized. NCBI's taxonomy places the organism in Eukaryota, Metazoa, Chordata, Aves, Passeriformes, Cisticolidae. The record is from RefSeq and is a predicted model, not a curated record. The transcript has 3 exons.